RNAcentral lists this ribosomal RNA (498 nucleotides) under uncultured bacterium. RNAcentral's name for it is "bacterial SSU rRNA". It matches the Rfam family "Bacterial small subunit ribosomal RNA", at positions 28 to 520 of the family's 1533-position model. The record is from RNAcentral.
GAUGAACGCUAGCGGCAGGCCUAAUACAUGCAAGUCGAACGGUAACAUGAGUAGCAAUACUUGAUGACGAGUGGCGCACGGGUGCGUAACGCGUUUGCAAUCUACCUUUAACAGGUGAAUAGCUCGAAGAAAUUCGGAUUAAUACACCAUAAUAUUGAGAAGUGGCAUCACUUUUCAAUUAAAGCUCCGGCGGUUAAAGAUGAGCAUGCGUGACAUUAGCUAGUUGGUAGAGUAAUAGCCUACCAAGGCAACGAUGUCUAGGGGAUCUGAGAGGAUUAACCCCCACACUGGUACUGAGACAGGGACCAGACUCCUACGGGAGGCAGCAGUAAGGAAUAUUGGACAAUGGUGGGAACACUGAUCCAGCCAUGCCGCGUGAAGGAUGAAGGCCCUAUGGGUUGUAAACUUCUUUUGUACGGGAAAAAACCUUCUUACGUGUAAGAAGCUGAUUGUACUGUAAGAAUAAGGAUCGGCUAACUCCGUGCCAGCAGCCGACGG